AUUGAACGCUGGCGGCAUGCUUUACACAUGCAAGUCGAACGGCAGCGCGGGCUUCGGCCUGGCGGCGAGUGGCGAACGGGUGAGUAAUGCAUCGGAACGUGCCCAGUAGUGGGGGAUAGCCCGGCGAAAGCCGGAUUAAUACCGCAUACGACCUGAGGGUGAAAGCGGGGGACCGAAAGGCUUCGCGCUAUUGGAGCGGCCGAUGUCGGAUUAGCUAGUUGGUGGGGUAAAGGCUUACCAAGGCGACGAUCCGUAGCUGGUCUGAGAGGACGACGAGCCACACUGGGACUGAGACACGGCCCAGACUCCUACGGGAGGCAGCAGUGGGGAAUUUUGGACAAAGGGGGCAACCCUGAUCCAGCCAUGCCGCGUGCGGGAAGAAGGCCUUCGGGUUGUAAACCGCUUUUGUUCGGGAAGAAAUCCUCUGGGCUAAUACCCCGGGGGGAUGACGGUACCGGAAGAAUAAGCACCGGCUAACUACGUG
RNAcentral lists this ribosomal RNA (484 nucleotides) under uncultured bacterium. RNAcentral's name for it is "partial 16S ribosomal RNA". It matches the Rfam family "Bacterial small subunit ribosomal RNA", at positions 29 to 507 of the family's 1533-position model. The record is from RNAcentral.